Molecule: ribosomal RNA, 274 nt
Filed under: uncultured bacterium
Lineage: Bacteria
Description: partial 16S ribosomal RNA
Rfam family: Bacterial small subunit ribosomal RNA
Source: RNAcentral
AUACGGAGGGUGCGAGCGUUAAUCGGAAUUACUGGGCGUAAAGCGUACGUAGGCGGUUUGCUAAGUCAGAUGUGAAAGCCCCGGGCUUAACCUGGGAACUGCAUUUGAUACUGGCAGACUAGAGUAUGAUAGAGGGGGGUAGAAUUCCUGGUGUAGCGGUGAAAUGCGUAGAUAUCAGGAGGAAUACCAGUGGCGAAGGCGGCCCCCUGGAUCAAUACUGACGCUGAGGUACGAAAGCGUGGGGAGCAAACAGGAUUAGAAACCCUUGUAGUCC